AGUUGGUGAUUAUGUUGUCCUUGGCCCUUGGUUGGGUAGAAUUGAUGAUGUUUUUGAUAAUGUCACAGUGAUGUUUGAUGAUGGUUCUGUAUGUAAAGUUAUGAAGGCUGACCCUUUACGUCUUAAACCAGUUGGUAGGAAUGGCCUUGAAGAUGGACAUUUUCCUUUCUAUCCUGGUCAGCGUGUAAAAGCUAGCUCAUCAUCAGUUUUCAAGAAUUCCAGAUGGUUAUCUGGCUCAUGGAAAGCAAAUAGGUUAGAAGGUACAGUAACUAAAGUUACUGUUGGUUCUGUCUUCAUCUACUGGAUUGCAUCUGCUGGAUAUGGGCCCGAUUCAUCCACUGCUCCAGCUGAAGAACAAAACCCAAAGAAUUUGAAACUGAUGUCUUGUUUUUCUCAUGCAAUCUGGCAACUAGGUGACUGGUGUCUUCUUCCUUCAUCAUCUUUUGCCUUAGACAAGCAAUUGUCAAAAUUACAACUAAGUGACUCCACCAAAACUGUAUCAGAAUCUUCUCAACCUUUA
Molecule: unclassified non-coding RNA, 520 nt
Filed under: Hevea brasiliensis (rubber tree)
Lineage: Eukaryota; Viridiplantae; Streptophyta; Magnoliopsida; Malpighiales; Euphorbiaceae
Source: RNAcentral